GACGAACGCUGGCGGCGUGCCUAACACAUGCAAGUCGAACGGAACUGUUUUGAAAGAUUUCUUCGGAAUGAAUUUGAUUUAGUUUAGUGGCGGACGGGUGAGUAACGCGUGAGUAACCUGCCUUCAAGAGGGGGAUAACAUUCUGAAAAGAAUGCUAAUACCGCAUGACAUAUCGGAACCACAUGGUUUUGAUAUCAAAGAUUUUAUCGCUUGAAGAUGGACUCGCGUCCGAUUAGUUAGUUGGUGAGGUAACGGCUCACCAAGACCGCGAUCGGUAGCCGGACUGAGAGGUUGAACGGCCACAUUGGGACUGAGACACGGCCCAGACUCCUACGGGAGGCAGCAGUGGGGGAUAUUGCGCAAUGGGGGCAACCCUGACGCAGCAACGCCGCGUGAAGGAUGAAGGUUUUCGGAUUGUAAACUUCUUUUAUUAAGGACGAAAAAUGACGGUACUUAAUGAAUAAGCU
RNAcentral lists this ribosomal RNA (467 nucleotides) under uncultured bacterium. Its description in RNAcentral is "bacterial SSU rRNA". It matches the Rfam family "Bacterial small subunit ribosomal RNA", at positions 28 to 492 of the family's 1533-position model. The record is from RNAcentral.